AGAUUGAACGCUGGCGGCAGGCCUAAUACAUGCAAGUCGAACGGACCCUUCGGGGUUAGUGGCGGACGGGUGAGUAACACGUGGGAACGUGCCCUUUGGUUCGGAACAACUCAGGGAAACUUGAGCUAAUACCGGAUGUGCCCUUCGGGGGAAAGAUUUAUCGCCAUUGGAGCGGCCCGCGUCUGAUUAGCUAGUUGGUGAGGUAAAGGCUCACCAAGGCUACGAUCAGUAGCUGGUCUGAGAGGAUGAUCAGCCACACUGGGACUGAGACACGGCCCAGACUCCUACGGGAGGCAGCAGUAGGGAAUCUUGCGCAAUGGGCGAAAGCCUGACGCAGCCAUGCCGCGUGAAUGAUGAAGGUCUUAGGAUUGUAAAAUUCUUUCAGCGGGACGAUAAUGACGGUACCGCAGAAGAAGCCCCGGCUAACUUCGUGCCAGCAGCCGC
Molecule: ribosomal RNA, 444 nt
Filed under: uncultured bacterium
Lineage: Bacteria
Description: SSU rRNA
Rfam family: Bacterial small subunit ribosomal RNA
Source: RNAcentral